This 484-nucleotide ribosomal RNA is filed under the name uncultured bacterium. RNAcentral's name for it is "partial 16S ribosomal RNA". It matches the Rfam family "Bacterial small subunit ribosomal RNA", at positions 30 to 507 of the family's 1533-position model. The record is from RNAcentral.
AUUGAACGCUGGCGGCAGGCCUAACACAUGCAAGUCGAGCGGAUGAAGGGAGCUUGCUCCUGGAUUCAGCGGCGGACGGGUGAGUAAUGCCUAGGAAUCUGCCUGGUAGUGGGGGAUAACGUCCGGAAACGGGCGCUAAUACCGCAUACGUCCUGAGGGAGAAAGUGGGGGAUCUUCGGACCUCACGCUAUCAGAUGAGCCUAGGUCGGAUUAGCUAGUUGGUGGGGUAAAGGCCUACCAAGGCGACGAUCCGUAACUGGCCUGAGAGGAUGAUCAGUCACACUGGAACUGAGACACGGUCCAGACUCCUUCGGGAGGCAGCAGUGGGGAAUAUUGGACAAUGGGCGAAAGCCUGAUCCAGCCAUGCCGCGUGUGUGAAGAAGGUCUUCGGAUUGUAAAGCACUUUAAGUUGGGAGGAAGGGCAGUAAGUUAAUACCUUGCUGUUUUGACGUUACCAACAGAAUAAGCACCGGCUAACUUCGUG